UACAGAGGGGGCAAGCGUUGUUCGGAAUUACUGGGCGUAAAGGGCGCGUAGGCGGCCUUCUAAGUCGAACGUGAAAUCCCCGAGCUCAACUCGGGAACUGCGUCCGAUACUGGCAGGCUUGAAUCCGGGAGAGGGAUGCGGAAUUCCAGGUGUAGCGGUGAAAUGCGUAGAUAUCUGGAGGAACACCGGCGGCGAAGGCGGCAUCCUGGACCGGCAUUGACGCUGAGGCGCGAAAGCCAGGGGAGCAAACGGG
This 253-nucleotide ribosomal RNA is filed under the name uncultured bacterium. RNAcentral's name for it is "partial 16S ribosomal RNA". It matches the Rfam family "Bacterial small subunit ribosomal RNA", at positions 524 to 776 of the family's 1533-position model. The record is from RNAcentral.